AGAGUUUGAUCAUGGCUCAGGAUGAACGCUGGCGGCGUGCCUAAUACAUGCAAGUCGAGCGAAUGACGAGGAGCUUGCUCCUCUGAUUUAGCGGCGGACGGGUGAGUAACACGUGGGUAACCUGCCUGUAAGACGGGGAUAACUCCGGGAAACCGGAGCUAAUACCGGAUGAUAACGAGAAGCGCCUGCUUCUUUUUUGAAAGUCGGUUUCGGCUGACGCUUACAGAUGGGCCCGCGGCGCAUUAGCUAGUUGGUGAGGUAACGGCUCACCAAGGCGACGAUGCGUAGCCGACCUGAGAGGGUGAUCGGCCACACUGGGACUGAGACACGGCCCAGACUCCUACGGGAGGCAGCAGUAGGGAAUCUUCGGCAAUGGACGAAAGUCUGACCGAGCAACGCCGCGUGAGUGAUGAAGGUUUUCGGAUCGUAAAACUCUGUUGUCAGGGAAGAACAAGUACCGGAGUAACUGCCGGUACCUUGACGGUACCUGACCAGAAAGCCACGGCUAACUACGUGCCAGCAGCCGCGGUAAUACGUAGGUGGCAAGCGUUAUCCGGAAUUAUUGGGCGUAAAGCGCGCGCAGGCGGUCUUUUAAGUCUGAUGUGAAAGCCCACGGCUCAACCGU
RNAcentral lists this ribosomal RNA (625 nucleotides) under uncultured marine bacterium. RNAcentral's name for it is "bacterial SSU rRNA". It matches the Rfam family "Bacterial small subunit ribosomal RNA", at positions 8 to 616 of the family's 1533-position model. The record is from RNAcentral.